This 1324-nucleotide ribosomal RNA is filed under the name metagenome. Its description in RNAcentral is "bacterial LSU rRNA". It matches the Rfam family "Bacterial large subunit ribosomal RNA", at positions 1561 to 2925 of the family's 2925-position model. The record is from RNAcentral.
AGUGGAUGGGGAGCAACCUAGUUGUGCGUGUGUAAAGGUAGUGCCAAGAAAAGCGAUGAUCAUGUUGAAAAUCAAUUCCCGGUACCCGAAACCGACACAGGUGGGCAAGUAGAGAAUACUAAGGGGCGCGAGGUAACUCUCUCCAAGGAACUCGGCAAAAUGACCCCGUAACUUAGGGAGAAGGGGUGCCACCGAGAGGUGGUCGCAGUGAAGAGGCCCAGGCGACUGUUUAGCAAAAACAUAGGUCUCUGCAAACUCGAAAGAGGAGGUAUAGGGGCUGACGCCUGCCCAGUGCCGGAAGGUUAAAGAAGUUGGUCAGUUUUAGGAUGAAGCUAGCGACUGAAGCCCCGGUGAACGGCGGCCGUAACUAUAACGGUCCUAAGGUAGCGAAAUUCCUUGUCGGGUAAGUUCCGACCGCACGAAAGGCGUAACGAUCUGGGCGCUGUCUCGGAGAGAGGCUCGGCGAAAUAGGAUUGUCUGUGAAGAUACGGACUACCUGCAUUUGGACAGAAAGACCCUAUGAAGCUUUACUAUAGCUUGGAAUUGUGUUCGGGCUUCCUGUGCGCAGGAUAGGUGGGAGGCGUAGAAGGUAUUCUUGUGGGGAUACUGGAGCCAACGGUGAGAUACCACUCUCAGGAGGCUAGAAUUCUAACUUAAUUAAGGACAGUUUCAGGUGGGUAGUUUGACUGGGGCGGUCGCCUCCAAAAAGGUAACGGAGGCGUACAAAGGUUCCCUCAGACUGGUUGGAAAUCAGUCGAAGAGUGCAAAGGCAGAAGGGAGCUUGACUGCGAGAAGUACAGUUCGAGCAGGGUGGAAACACGGUCUUAGUGAUCCGACGGUGCUGUGUGGAAGGGCCGUCGCUCAACGGAUAAAAGUUACUCUAGGAUAACAGGCUGAUCUCCCCCAAGAGUUCACAUCGACGGGGAGGUUUGGCACCUCGAUGUCGGCUCAUCGCAACCUGGGGCGGAAGUACGUCCCAAGGGUUGGGCUGUUCGCCCAUUAAAGCGGUACGUGAGCUGGGUUCAGAACGUCGUGAGACAGUUCGGUCCAUAUCCGAUGUAGGCGUGAGAAUAUUGAGAGGAGCCUUCCUUAGUACGAGAGGACCGGGAAGGACGCACCGCUGGUGUACCUGUUAUGAUGCCAAUUGUAAACGCAGGGUAGCCAAGUGCGGAGAGGAUAACCGCUGAAAGCAUCUAAGUGGGAAGCCCACCUCAAGAUGAGUAUUCUGGUGUAAGGUCACGGGAAGACGACCCGUAAAUAGGCACGAGGUGGAAGUGCAGAGAUGUAUGAAGCCGAAGUGUACUAAUAGACCGUCGGCUUGACC